Molecule: long non-coding RNA, 2241 nt
Filed under: Felis catus (domestic cat)
Lineage: Eukaryota; Metazoa; Chordata; Mammalia; Carnivora; Felidae
Description: lncRNA (ENSFCAG00000043230.2)
Source: RNAcentral
GAGCAUUUUAACUUAUAACUUUUAACUUAUAUUAUUUAACUUAUAAUUUAACAUUAUAACUUUUUUUCUCUUAUCCUUACGGAAAAUUGACGCUCAUCAUUCAGCCACUUAGAGAUAACUAUUUUCCAGUCUCUGUCCAUUGAAAUUAUGUCUAUAUGUUUUCUUUAUUAAGCAGAAACUGUUUUGUAAACUGCCCCCUACUAUAUAGGGAACAUUUUGUUUGUUGUUAAAUCCCACUAAAAGGAUGUACCAUGAUUUAGAAUCACUGGCGUACUGUUGGCCUAAGUUUUCAGUAUUACAAAGAGCUGUGCUACACAUCUGUGCAAAUAAAUAUUUGCCUACGUCCCGGAUUGUUUUUCAUUCGAAUCGAUUUCUAGACGCAAGCUAAUGGGACCAAACGCAGAAAAGGAAUGGAAAGAUUGAGAUGGGCCCAAGUGCUCCGACAGAGCACAGCGACUACGGCACAGUGGCGGAGGCUUCAACAGUGGCUAUUGUUAUUACUUCCUUGAUUUACCCUAUGGCUGUCUCCCUUCUCCGCCCCCCCCCCCAUAAUUAUUAUUCAGAGCUUUCCUAAAUGAAGCAGGGCUCUGACUUCACCCGAACAGCAAGAGGUUUCCCAGGUAGGGAGGAUUGACCCGGCCUAGAGGCUCAGUAACCGGAGGAGGAACGGAGAGGGAGGAGGGGAGGUGGAAGGGAAGAGGCAUAGGCAGUCCAGAUCCAGUUUGUGGAUGGAUGUCCUUCCCAGGUGACAUCCAGGGCCGGACCCCGCCCCAUGUCCAUGCGUACGCUUGGCAGGGGGUGGUCGUGACAAUGGCCGUGACGACUGAUGGCCGUCCUUUGAGCUGCUGGCCUUGGGGAUCCCGCAGUCCCCCCCUUCCUCCCUCUCCCUCCCUAACCCCACACCUUCAGACCUCCUCCUCCCCUCCACCCGCGGCUGCCGGAGCCCCCACACUCUGGUUAUACUUCAUGCAGAGUAGUAGAAGAAGAGAGGACGAGACCUCGUCGCUAAAAGCAUCCUCUUCUGGAGCCCCAGCUGUUCCUUCUGCCUCUGCUCCUGUCUUCACAAGGCCGUCUCCCCUCUCAUGGAAUUAGGGACCACUUCUAAUGACCUCAUCUUAACCUGAUGACAUCUCCAAAGACUGUUUCCAAAUAAGGUCACAUUCACAGGUGAGGGAAGGUUAGUACUUGACUACAUCUUUUUUGGAGGACACUUUCUAACCCAUAACAGGCUCUAAUCCUCUCUGAUGGGUUUGCUGUGGCCUUUGGUCUCUACUGUUGUGUUUACAAUUCCAAAGAGAAAGCAGGUCAGUUGAAACAAGUGUAAAUUCUUUAAAUCGGUGGAUUUUGCCCUGGAUAGCUAACCUCGAAGAACUGCCUUUAAGCCUCAUUCUUUUUUUUUUUUUUUAAAUUUUUUUUUCAACGUUUAUUUUAUUUUUGCGACAGAGAGAGACAGAGCAUGAACGGGGGAGGGGCAGAGAGAGAGGGAGACACCGAAUCGGAAACUAAGCCUCAUUCUUGAAGCACAGAUAGGAACUUUCUCUAGACUCUGUCCUGGCUAUGAGGGGAAGUGCUCGCCUCCCUGGGGGGAAGGGAAGUCUCAGGUGUGCUAGUUCAGAAAUGGCAUCAUCUCAUCCUCUCUUCUGGUAGAGCUCCCUCCUCCCCACUUUAUACUGGGGAGCUCUGCUCAUGACUUGGUAUCAGAGUCCUUGCCUCUGUCUUGAAGAAGAUGAAGUGGGAUGGGGGGUAGGUAUGUCCAACGGGCUUUAUACUGCAACCUGAAGGAUUUCUCUUUCUCAUUUUGAGCUUGUAUCACACUACGUCAAAACCUUCUUUUCACCCACACCAACAAUGUGCUGAAUGCUGACUCUCCUCCUGAGGGGGAAAUUUCACUGAAGUCCAUUGCUUGCCUCUGUGUCCUUGUACUCUAACAUGACAGAUGACAGGUGAGACUUAAACAUGGCGAUACUUGGGGGCUCCUGGGUGGCUCAGUUGGGUAAGUGUUUGGUUACUUUGGUAACCAGCUCUUGGUUCCAGCUCAGGUCAUGAUCUCACGGUUCGUGGGAUGGAGCCCCGCAUUGGGCUUCAUGCUCUGCUGGUGGACAUUCAGCUGCUCCAGCUGCUUGGGAUUCUCUCUCCCUCUCUCUCUCUGCCCCUCCCCUGCUCAUGUGCUCUCUCUCUCUCUCUCUCUCUGUCUCCAAGUAAGUGAAUAAACCUAAAAGAAUGAAAAAAAAUAAAAAUGGU